UGCCACUCGUACAGCCCAGGCAGGUGCUGACGGACGAGCUCCCGUUCGCUCUCCCUCCUCUCCAGAGAGGCCGCGGGGGAGGCAGGGCUUCCUCCCCGGCCGCGCUGUCCAAGCUGGGACAGGCCRUGCUGCUCCCGCCGGCUCCUCCGUGGCCGUUCCGGAGAAAUGAUGGGCGAGACUCUGCAUUGCCGGGUCCUGGGAAAGCCUGGCACCUUCCAAACUACGGAGCAGAUGGGACUGAGAAAGCUGACAGCAACAUCUCAUAACUGGAAGAUAGAAGCACAAGGCUGUUUCUGAGCAGUGCCCUUCCCUGGCUCAGCGCCCAGUGCCACCAGAGCCCCUUGCAGGAUCCUCAGCAGCGCAGACACCCUGGAUGCUCAGGAGCAGAGGAUCUAUCAACUGCAGACUAAGCAGAGGGAGAGGCAGGCAGAACAGGAGCAGAAAUGCAGCCAGAGCAGCAGCUCAGCCAGGACCUGCGGGGCAUCCACCAGCUACGGAAGGGMUCUUGAAGCAGCACCUGAGGAGGAACAGAGCUACAGCAGCUGAGACUGCAGCGAGAUCUUGUGAGAAAGAUGGUGCAAAUGCCCUAGACCUUCAGCAAAGUUAGGACCACCUGGCUGUGUCGUACCUUGGAGACUGGGACAGCUGCUAAACAUCUGAAAAAAAGAAGCAAUUAUGCAAGGUCAGCAGASGUGGCCUCUUGCAGACAGAUCUGCCCUCAACUCUGCCCACCUGAGGGGUUGAGCAAUGCUGUGGAGCACCGCUGGAGCCAGAGGAAACAGUGCUGGUGUGAAGCCCUAUCCAAGAGCACAAAUAACAUCAUGUUCUUAUGAUCCUCCUUUGCAUUUCCUUCCUGCAGAUUCCCAGAGUGAGCAGGAAGGGACUGGGCUGCCUGACCUCUUGUACAGACAGUCAAGAAAAUUUCACCAUGUUACUGUGAAAUCAGUAACUUGUCUAAGGCAGCUUCAGACAGGUGUUUGGCUGGGCUUGAAGACAUCAAAAGAUGGCAAAUGCACCACAUCCCCCCCAGCACUCAGUCCCUUCACASCACUCACAUCACUAUUUUCCUCUCAUUACUGUUAUGCCAACAGGGCUAAUGAAGAUUUCUAUGCAGCAGCAGUAUGGUCUCAACUUUGUUUCCCUUUGGUUUUAGACUUUAUCUUAGAACACUCUUUUCUUUUUGGCCAGAGACUUAAGG
This is a long non-coding RNA of Malurus melanocephalus (red-backed fairy wren), 1198 nucleotides long. RefSeq lists it as uncharacterized. The transcript is spliced from 5 exons. The record is from RefSeq and is a predicted model, not a curated record. Lineage: Eukaryota; Metazoa; Chordata; Aves; Passeriformes; Maluridae.